CUACGGGAGGCUCCAGUGAGGAAUUUUGCGCAAUGGGGGAAACCCUGACGCAGCAACGCCGCGUGAGUGAUGAAGGCUUUCGGGUCGUAAAGCUCUGUCAAGUGGGAAGAACCACUUUGAGGUUAAUACCCUCGAGGUUUGACGGUACCACUGAAGGAAGCACCGGCUAACUCCGUGCCAGCAGCCGCGGUAAUACGGGGGGUGCAAGCGUUAUUCGGAAUCAUUGGGCGUAAAGGGCGCGCAGGCGGCCUUGUAAGUCAGAUGUGAAAGCCCGGGGCUCAACCCCGGAAGCGCAUUUGAAACUAUGAGGCUUGAGUAUGGGAGAGGGAAGUGGAAUUCCUGGUGUAGCGGUGAAAUGCGUAGAUAUCAGGAGGAACACCGGUGGCGAAGGCGACUUCCUGGACCAAUACUGACGCUGAGGCGCGAAGGCGUGGGGAGCAAACAGGAUUAGAUACCCGGGUAGUC
RNAcentral lists this ribosomal RNA (465 nucleotides) under uncultured bacterium. RNAcentral describes it as "partial 16S ribosomal RNA". It matches the Rfam family "Bacterial small subunit ribosomal RNA", at positions 339 to 795 of the family's 1533-position model. The record is from RNAcentral.